Molecule: long non-coding RNA, 718 nt
Organism: Syngnathus acus (greater pipefish)
Lineage: Eukaryota; Metazoa; Chordata; Actinopteri; Syngnathiformes; Syngnathidae
Exons: 6
Source: RefSeq, a predicted model, not a curated record
GGUCUGGCAAGAUGACACCACGGGGGACUGCGCAUUCCCAAAUUCUGUUGGGAAGAUCGGCGGCAGCCCCUGCACAACGAAGCGGCCAUUUGUCUGCAAAACAGCCAAGCGUGGAGGGCCUCGACAGCUGCCACCAUUAGCCAGCCAACAUGGCUGGACUGACAAAUGCGGCUGGUGGCUGGACAACCCCUCGGACGACUUCUGCUACCUGUUCAACUUUCAGCCCGCCAAGACCUGGCAGGAGGCGCAAGCCGACUGCAAAGGCCGCCAAGGGAACCUGCUCAGCAUCGCCGACUCGCGCGAGCAGGGCUUCGUACACGGUAUCGCCAAGCUUCUGGCGAUGAAUGAUGACGCCUCCCUGUGGUUGGGCGCCGACGCCUCCAUCAAGCGUGACGGUGACAAGUGGACUGACGGAUCCUCCUUCUCUUACCUCCACCCGAGUGCAGGUGUCCCUGAAGGGGGGAAAUGUCUUUUCUUGCUCACUGGCAGCGGCGACUGGAAGCGCGACACGUGCGACAAGAAGAGAGGCUACGUCUGCAAGAAAAGAGGUAAGUGAGAUGUGACGCCCCGCGGUGGACCGUCAUCACGUGUCGACAUCCACUUUCUGGUUCCCGCUUCUAGGAAAGACACAUCAGCUGCCGCCACAUGACGGCUACAAGAAGAAGCUUGUCUGCCAAGACGAUUGGAAAUCCCUCGAAUGUCCCGAUGAAAGAGUCAU